Molecule: long non-coding RNA, 375 nt
Organism: Perca fluviatilis (European perch)
Lineage: Eukaryota; Metazoa; Chordata; Actinopteri; Perciformes; Percidae
Exons: 2
Source: RefSeq, a predicted model, not a curated record
CUUCCCAGUUCACAGGCAACAAUGGGGCGUCUGAGUUUCUCCUGGCUCAAGGCACAGUAUUUCCACUGGGCAGCCAACUCUGCAUUUUUAUCAACCUGGAGACAUGAUAAGGCUGCAUAUUAGUUUACUAUCGAUGGCGCUGUCCAAGAGCGACCAUUAGUUUGGGGAAUACCUCAGUGGAGACAUCUCUGGCGGCAUGACUGAUAAUCUGUUUGGAAAAGAAGACUGCUGUAAGAAUGAAAACACAGCAUUGGACUUCAUUUUGGCUGAGAAAAUAGAUUUCAACCUCUUUACGCUCACCACACACUGCUGCUACUGUGGUUCCCAAAAUGUAGCAAAAUUAACAAAUAUAAACAUAAAAAUAUUUCUCCAUUU